Molecule: ribosomal RNA, 430 nt
Filed under: Bacteroidota bacterium
Lineage: Bacteria; Pseudomonadati; Bacteroidota
Description: Bacteroidetes bacterium partial 16S ribosomal RNA
Rfam family: Bacterial small subunit ribosomal RNA
Source: RNAcentral
UAGGGAAUCUUCGGCAAUGGGGGGAACCCUGACCGAGCAACGCCGCGUGAGUGAAGAAGGUUUUCGGAUCGUAAAGCUCUGUUGUUAAGGAAGAACGAGUGUGAGAAUGGAAAGUUCAUGCUGUGACGGUACUUAACCAGAAAGGGACGGCUAACUACGUGCCAGCAGCCGCGGUAAUACGUAGGUCCCGAGCGUUGUCCGGAUUUAUUGGGCGUAAAGCGAGCGCAGGCGGUCAAUUAAGUCUGAUGUGAAAGCCCCCGGCUCAACCGGGGAGGGUCAUUGGAAACUGGUUGACUUGAGUGCAGAAGAGGAGAGUGGAAUUCCAUGUGUAGCGGUGAAAUGCGUAGGUAUAUGGAGGAACACCAGUGGCGAAGGCGACUCUCUGGUCUGUAACUGACGCUGAGGCUCGAAAGCGUGGGGAGCGAACAGG